This 587-nucleotide ribosomal RNA is filed under the name uncultured soil bacterium. RNAcentral describes it as "bacterial SSU rRNA". It matches the Rfam family "Bacterial small subunit ribosomal RNA", at positions 336 to 916 of the family's 1533-position model. The record is from RNAcentral.
CUCCUACGGGAGGCAGCAGUGGGGAAUUUUGGACAAUGGGCGCAAGCCUGAUCCAGCAAUGCCGCGUGUGUGAAGAAGGCCUUCGGGUUGUAAAGCACUUUUGUCAGGGAAGAAAAGGACACCACUAAUACUGGAGUCUGAUGACGGUACCUGAAGAAUAAGCACCGGCUAACUACGUGCCAGCAGCCGCGGUAAUACGUAGGGUGCAAGCGUUAAUCGGAAUUACUGGGCGUAAAGCGUGCGCAGGCGGUUUGUUAAGACGGAUGUGAAAUCCCCGGGCUCAACCUGGGAACCGCAUUCGUGACUGGCAAGCUAGAGUAUGGCAGAGGGGGGUGGAAUUCCACGUGUAGCAGUGAAAUGCGUAGAGAUGUGGAGGAACACCGAUGGCGAAGGCAGCCCCCUGGGCCAAUACUGACGCUCAAGCACGAAAGCGUGGGGAGCAAACAGGAUUAGAUACCCUGGUAGUCCACGCCCUAAACGAUGUCAACUAGUUGUUGGGGAUUCAUUUCCUUAGUAACGAAGCUAACGCGUGAAGUUGACCGCCUGGGGAGUACGGUCGCAAGAUUAAAACUCAAAGGAAUUGACGG